Molecule: ribosomal RNA, 301 nt
Filed under: uncultured bacterium
Lineage: Bacteria
Description: partial 16S ribosomal RNA
Rfam family: Bacterial small subunit ribosomal RNA
Source: RNAcentral
CAGUCGCCGCGGGAAUACGAAGGGGGCUAGCGUUGUUCGGAAUUACUGGGCGUAAAGGGCUCGUAGGCGGCUUGGUAAGUUAGAGGUGAAAGCCCGGGGCUCAACCCCGGAUGUGCAUUUGAUACUGUUUGGCUUGAGUUCGGGAGAGGUGAGUGGAAUUCCCAGUGUAGAGGUGAAAUUCGUAGAUAUUGGGAAGAACACCAGUGGCGAAGGCGGCUCACUGGACCGACACUGACGCUGAGGCGCGAAAGCGUGGGGAGCAAACAGGAUUAGAUACCCCAGUAGUCCCUGUCUCUUUACA